GUUUCAGGGCGGGGUGAAAUUCCCCACCGGCGGUAUAGCCCGCGACCGCAGCUUUUUGCAAAGCUUGCGCUGAUUCGGUGAAAUUCCGAAGCCGACGGUAUAGUCCGGAUGAAAGAAA
This 118-nucleotide non-coding RNA is filed under the name uncultured Ruthenibacterium sp. RNAcentral's name for it is "FMN riboswitch (RFN element)". It matches the Rfam family "FMN riboswitch aptamer (RFN element)". From Rfam's summary of the family: The RFN element is a highly conserved domain that is found frequently in the 5'-untranslated regions of prokaryotic mRNAs that encode for flavin mononucleotide (FMN) biosynthesis and transport proteins. This element is a metabolite-dependent riboswitch that directly binds FMN in the absence of proteins. In Bacillus subtilis, the riboswitch most likely controls gene expression by causing premature transcription termination within the 5' untranslated region of the ribDEAHT operon and precluding access to the ribosome-binding site of ypaA mRNA. The record is from RNAcentral. Lineage: Bacteria; Bacillati; Bacillota; Clostridia; Eubacteriales; Oscillospiraceae.